Molecule: long non-coding RNA, 823 nt
Filed under: Homo sapiens (human)
Lineage: Eukaryota; Metazoa; Chordata; Mammalia; Primates; Hominidae
Description: HSALNT0212702
Source: RNAcentral
AGCCAGGAAACACAGAUUUGGGACUUAGACACAAAGAAGGUAUCUUUGAAUCCAUCUGUGUAGAUGAUGUGUUUAAUACAUAUUGUGUGGCUUCAUUACACCGUCGAGCCAUUGUGACUUCCGUUUGCUGUUUUCAUGCAAUAUGAUGCUUGUUUUUUAAUUGGCUUCUACCAAUUUUCCCCCAAAAGAUAAUUUCUUUGAUCAACACAUUGGCUGACUAUUGAUUCAUACAUUUCUAUUUAUUUAUAGAGAGAGGAGCAGAGGACCAAGAUUUGUAUACGCAGGAAAUUUUACCAAUUAUCCAGAAGACUCAUUUCUCAGCCCACUCGCAGAUGUUUCUGACUCAGACACACCCAUGGGGUCCUUGUCCCCCAACCACCCCUGUAGAAGAACUCCAUCUUUACUGGUUCAAGGACAAUGGGGAGGGCUCUGAUGAGCUCUGAUGUCAGACAGACUUGGCCUGGCCUGCUCUGCCACUUCCUGGCUCUGUGACCAGGAUCAGGACACUAAAACUCUAUGACUCAGUUUCCUCCUCUGUACGAUGGGUAGUAAUAAACCCUACCUCCUAGGAUUGCUGGGCAUAUCUUGUGAUAUAUUGCAUGGAUGGCGCUUAGCCAAGGGCCUGGACCAUAACGGGUAUUUAAUAAAUGUAAACUAAGCAAAAACAAACAAACAACAACAACAAACAAACAAACAAAAAAACGUUCAGAGUAGAUGACCUUCAAAAUUUUCCUGCUCAUAAGAACCUGUGAUUUCUGCUCUCACUUGUCUAUAAAAAAUAUUUUAUGGGCCUGGCACGGUGGCUCACACCUGUAAUUCCAGC